This is a long non-coding RNA of Zingiber officinale, 1111 nucleotides long. RefSeq lists it as uncharacterized. The transcript has 3 exons. The record is from RefSeq and is a predicted model, not a curated record. NCBI's taxonomy places the organism in Eukaryota, Viridiplantae, Streptophyta, Magnoliopsida, Zingiberales, Zingiberaceae.
CUUCCUCUGCCAGAGCCUCCUUUCACAAAAACUUCCUAGCCUCCCACAAAAACCCAUCUCUGCCGAAACUCCACACAAACUCCAUCUUCGCCGAAACCCUCCUCCUAUUGCCCGCACCUAGCCUCCUCAACGACCUAGCUUCCUCCUCCACUCCGUCCUUGCUCUUCUUCUUCGCCGUUUUCUUUAACUCGUUUUCUUUUCCAUCAUCGUUCACUCUUUUCCCAUGUGCUAGACGACGAUGAGGGCAUAGGAAUCGGGAGGGAUUUUUUUUUUUUUUCAAAAAUUAGGAGACAUUGACAACACUUGUUAAAGACCAAACCACUCGAGGGCAGAGAAAUGGGCAAGACAGAAGAGGUUCUGAAGGCUGCUGAUAUAGACAAGGAGGCGGAGGGGGCGAACAACCAUAUAGACGAGGAGGUAGAGCAGUUUAUUAAAAGGUUCUAUGAGCAGCUUCGCCUCCAGCAGAGGAUUACUCCAAUGACUCCGGAGUAUAAAUGAUUCACUUGAUCAUCCUCUAGCAUCUUCGAUCCUAAAACCCUCGUCUUUGCUUCUUCAAGUCUGAUUGGAAGCGGUGGAUCUUCUUUCUAACAUGAAUCAUCCUGAAGGAAACUGUCCAUUGUGCUUGUAUCCUUUGGUUACUGAAGAUCGGUCAGAUUCUACUAUGCCAUUUAUGAAGUUGACGUCCAGCUAUCACUACUUCCAUAAGUAGCUAUCCUCUUCUAAUCAUGCUAUUUAUCUAUUAAAUUUUUUCGUAUCAACUAAAUGUUGUAUAACUUUUGCUACAUCGUGAAUGUAUUAUCGGGUGGUGGAAAUCGUAACAGAUGGAAAAUUCAGAAGCAAUUGCAGAAAUUUCUCUUUCAAAGAAAAAGAGGGAGACAUUAUUACCCGAAGGAUUCAAUCUAAGGAUGGCUAGCAUCAUAUGGAAGGGUACUCAUAUAUUUUUGAGAAGAUGCAGUAUUAUCAGAAAGAUUCAAUUCAAGAAACAAGAUAUAUUAGAACUAAUAUGCAUGUCUAGUAUGUAGGGUUUUACUUUUAUAUAGACUUAAUAUUGAUCCAAAGUUUGUGGAUCAUGUGUACAUAUUUUUUUUUUUUGAAUUGUACGACACAUUUA